Molecule: unclassified non-coding RNA, 190 nt
Filed under: rhizosphere metagenome
Description: partial ribosomal RNA internal transcribed spacer region
Source: RNAcentral
GUUGGUGAACCAGCGGAGGGAUCAUUACCGAGUUUACAACUCCCAAACCCCUGUGAACAUACCAUUUGUUGCCUCGGCGGUGCCUGCUUCGGCAGCCCGCCAGAGGACCCAAACCCUUGAUUUUAUACAGUAUCUUCUGAGUAAAUGAUUAAAUAAAUCAAAACUUUCAACAACGGAUCUCUUGGUUCUG